This 567-nucleotide long non-coding RNA is filed under the name Ananas comosus (pineapple). RNAcentral's name for it is "long non-coding RNA (ACOM_LNC004822)". Lineage: Eukaryota; Viridiplantae; Streptophyta; Magnoliopsida; Poales; Bromeliaceae. The record is from RNAcentral.
UACAAAUUAAUAUGAGUGAUGUUGGCUUAAAUAGGCUAGCAUCCUGCCAUGUGGCAGGAGAUCAAGUUGGGCCGAGUCAUAUUCAAAAUGGCGUGAGGCUGGAUGCACUGAGUCAUGUUCGAAGUGGCGUGAGGCUGGUUAGGCCCAGUCACAAUCGAGCUUCGUAAGAUGCAUGCCAGAUCUCAAAUGCUAAGAAGCUCUUAUUAAUUAAAUAACUAGGCAUGUAAAACUAAUUAACUCAUUACCCAUAUUUAAGGACACAUCUGUCGGAUUUUUGGCGCUAAUCAUUAAAUUCCAAAAACUCGAGUUGUUAAAAAAAUAUAAUCAAUUCACUUAAAACGUAAAAACACAACGUUCACGGGUUUCGAUUGUACCCAGCCUAACUAGCCUCCCACCACUUUAAAUAAAACUCGGCUCAAUCCGAUCUCCCGCCAUUUCAAACGUGAUUCGGCCCAACUUGACCCCCUGCCACAAAGUAGAAUGCUAACCCCUUUAAACCAACAACGCCACCCAACAAUUUCUUUCAUCGUUCAAGAUUUGAAUUACUAUACCAAAAAUUUAACAUAA